RNAcentral lists this ribosomal RNA (842 nucleotides) under metagenome. RNAcentral's name for it is "bacterial LSU rRNA". It matches the Rfam family "Bacterial large subunit ribosomal RNA", at positions 2080 to 2925 of the family's 2925-position model. The record is from RNAcentral.
ACGGAAAGACCCCAUGGAGCUUUACUCCAGCUUGAUACUGGGAUUCGAUACUGUAUGUACAGGAUAGGUGGGAGACGUUGAACAUAGAACGCCAGUUUUAUGUGAGUCGCUGUUGGGAUACCACCCUUGCAGUAUUGGAUUUCUAACCUGCACCCAUGACCUGGGUGGGGGACAAUGUCUGGCGGGGAGUUUGACUGGGGCGGUCGCCUCCGAAAGGGUAUCGGAGGCGCUCAAAGGUUCCCUCAGAAUGGUUGGAAACCAUUCGAAGAGUGCAAAGGCAGAAGGGAGCUUGACUGUGACACCGACGGGUGGAACAGGUACGAAAGUAGGACUUAGUGAUCCGGUGGUAUAAAGUGGGAUUGCCAUCGCUCAACGGAUAAAAGCUACCCUGGGGAUAACAGGCUUAUCACUCCCAAGAGUUCACAUCGACGGAGUGGUUUGGCACCUCGAUGUCGGCUCAUCGCAUCCUGGGGCUGUAGUAGGUCCCAAGGGUUGGGCUGUUCGCCCAUUAAAGCGGUACGCGAGCUGGGUUCAGAACGUCGUGAGACAGUUCGGUCCCUAUCCGGCGCAGGCGGAGGAUAUUUGAGAGGAGCUGUCCUUAGUACGAGAGGACCGGGAUGGACGGACCACUGGUGUAUCUGUUGGCUAUCAGAGCCAUGGCAGAGUAGCCAAGUCCGGCAGGGAUAAACGCUGAAGGCAUCUAAGCGUGAAGCCCCCCUCAAGAUGAGAUAUCCCUCAGAAAUGAGUAAGACCCCUUGAAGACUACGAGGUAGAUAGGAAUGAGGUGUAAGCACAGCAAUGUGUUCAGCUGACAUUUACUAAUCGGUCGAGGGCUUGACCAA